UACGUAGGGGGGCAAGCGUUGUCCGGAUUUAUUGGGCGUAAAGAGCGUGUAGGCGGCCACACAGGUCAGCUGUGAAAACUCGAGGCUCAACCUCGAGACGUCGGUUGAAACCGUAUGGCUAGAGUCCGGAAGAGGAGAGUGGAAUUCCCGGUGUAGCGGUGAAAUGCGCAGAUAUCGGGAAGAACACCCGUGGCGAAGGCGGCUCUCUGGGACGGUACUGACGCUGAGACGCGAAAAGCGUGGGGGAGCGAACAGG
This 256-nucleotide ribosomal RNA is filed under the name uncultured bacterium. RNAcentral describes it as "partial 16S ribosomal RNA". It matches the Rfam family "Bacterial small subunit ribosomal RNA", at positions 524 to 776 of the family's 1533-position model. The record is from RNAcentral.